AUAAGCAGCCAUAUCACCCUGCAGCCCAAGACUGGUCGCCACACUGAAGCCAAGCAGGGUUGAGUCUGGUCAGUACCUGGAUGGGAGACCUCCUGGAAAACUAGGUUGCUGCUGGAA
Molecule: ribosomal RNA, 117 nt
Filed under: Sinocyclocheilus rhinocerous
Lineage: Eukaryota; Metazoa; Chordata; Actinopteri; Cypriniformes; Cyprinidae
Source: RNAcentral